GAUGAACGCUGGCGGCGUGCUUAACACAUGCAAGUCGAGCGAUGAAGUUUCCUUCGGGAAAUGGAUUAGCGGCGGACGGGUGAGUAACACGUGGGUAACCUGCCUCAUAGAGUGGAAUAGCCUUCCGAAAGGAAGAUUAAUACCGCAUAAUGUUGAAAGAUGGCAUCAUCAUUCAACCAAAGGAGCAAUCCGCUAUGAGAUGGACCCGCGGCGCAUUAGCUAGUUGGUGGGGUAACGGCCUACCAAGGCGACGAUGCGUAGCCGACCUGAGAGGGUGAUCGGCCACAUUGGAACUGAGACACGGUCCAA
RNAcentral lists this ribosomal RNA (309 nucleotides) under uncultured bacterium. RNAcentral's name for it is "bacterial SSU rRNA". It matches the Rfam family "Bacterial small subunit ribosomal RNA", at positions 28 to 334 of the family's 1533-position model. The record is from RNAcentral.